This 1544-nucleotide long non-coding RNA is filed under the name Solanum tuberosum (potato). RNAcentral describes it as "long non-coding RNA (STUB_LNC011066)". Lineage: Eukaryota; Viridiplantae; Streptophyta; Magnoliopsida; Solanales; Solanaceae. The record is from RNAcentral.
CCCCCGUUAAAAGAUACAAUUGUAAAUUUUAGUUUUAAAUUUCUAAAGUGAUGGAGUACAUGUGAAAUGGUUUCGAUAAUUACAUUAACAUCCAUUUUUUUUUGGGGUUAUUGCUGUGUAUUACAUAAAAAAAUAGAGGGUUGCUUCUCAAGACAUAAAUUGCUGAGAUCAAUCCUUUACGAAAAAAGAGCUGAGAACACAAGCUACAGCUUCAAUAGAAGAUUGCUGCAUAUUAUGCUCCUGCUUACUAAACAGAGGAAAAAUAGUAAGUUGAAGACCAAUCUCAUUGUCAUUUGAGUGUGUAGAUGGACCUGAAUAGAGAACAAAGAGCCGAUCUCAACUUGGUGAAUUGUUGAUAAUCCUUUUUUCAAUAUAUGGAGUCAACUUGCUCUGUAUUGCCACAAGGAACAAAGACAAUGUAAGAGAUAAAAUAUAAAAGCGCACAAGAACCAACUAUAGGCGCAGCACAAGAAAAGAAUGAUUAAGGACCCGAAAAAACUAAAAGUGAUUAGAAAUGGGAGAAAUUCAACCCUAUGAUACUCUUCUAAAAUGCGGCAGUUGUACCAUCUCUGCUCUACAUGAAUCUGCAAAUGAUAAAAUCAACAUAACAAAUCGAGUUAGACAAAGAAAGCACGAAACAUCUUGACAAGGAACAAAAAGUUAAAAUUUCGUUAGUACAAUUCCAUCUGACACAAAUUCUAUAUCCUUUAUUUUUAUUUUGAUGACAAGGGAACCCGCAACUGCUUCCCUUUACAAUAGCUCAUAAACCACAUAGGAGAGGUAAACAACACUAAACAAGAGCUCGACCCCCAAGGGGUUUCGAAAAUGUUUGUUGAAUCAUCAAGUUUAUGGUAACCACACAGUUAUAUCCACGAUACCAGAUAAGUGAUUCUAUAACCUUUAUAUAAUUAAUACACACACACAAGACAUGUGAAUGUUAUUCUCCUUAAUAACACAGAACAUGGAGACCUUACUCUCUAAUAUUUCCAAUUUAGACAUGUUGAAAUGGUUUAUCAAUUUUGACCAAAUUUUACAGCAUUAAGUGUAGAUGGGAUAGUGACAGCUAGCAUUUUCACAAACCGUAAAAGGAUUCAAGUUGGAACGAAGUGACAUCUUCAGUGAUAUUGUGAACUGAUCUAUUGAUUGUUUAAAUGUAGCUCUAUAAGUUAACAGAACAUGGACACUGCCUCAUCAGCUAGAGUAUUGUGAGUAAGAGACUGCAUGACAUGUCUCAUAAUGGGACUCCUAGCAGCGUGCAACAAAAGCCCACAGAAAAAAGAAAGAAAUUUCACGAUGUGGAACACAAGCAACUCUGAAAUUUAAAGCAUCUGGACACUCUUUGCGUACCUGAUUAGAAUACCAGCUUGCAGAUAUUAACAUCAACAGCAUAUUAACAGUUGCCUGUAUGAAUAAAGUUUUGAAAAUAAUAAAAAAAGAGAGGGUGUAUUAUCAGCUAUUAAUAGUGAAAACAGUCAUGAUAACAAACCCUUCGGGGUAGCUCAGUGGUUUGGGCUUGUGACUUCCAUAUUGGAGGUCUCAAGUUC